AGUCGAGCGGUAACAGGAAUUAGCUUGCUAAUUUGCUGACGAGCGGCGGACGGGUGAGUAACGCGUAGGAAUCUGCCUGGUAGUGGGGGACAACAUGUGGAAACGCAUGCUAAUACCGCAUACGCCCUACGGGGGAAAGGAGGGGAUCUUCGGACCUUUCGCUAUCAGAUGAGCCUGCGUGAGAUUAGCUAGUUGGUGGGGUAAAGGCUCACCAAGGCGACGAUCUCUAGCUGGUCUGAGAGGAUGAUCAGCCACACUGGGUCUGAGACACGGCCCAGACUCCGACGGGAGGCAGCAGUGGGGAAUAUUGGACAAUGGGCGCAAGCCUGAUCCAGCCAUGCCGCGUGUGUGAAGAAGGCCUUCGGGUUGUAAAGCACUUUCAGAGGUGAGGAAGGGUGUGCCGUUAAUACCUGCAUAAUUUGACGUUAGCCUCAGAAGAAGCACCGGCUAACUCUGUGCCAGCAGCCGCGGUAAUACAGAGGGUGCAAGCGU
RNAcentral lists this ribosomal RNA (492 nucleotides) under uncultured Oceanospirillaceae bacterium. RNAcentral's name for it is "bacterial SSU rRNA". It matches the Rfam family "Bacterial small subunit ribosomal RNA", at positions 60 to 541 of the family's 1533-position model. The record is from RNAcentral. Lineage: Bacteria; Pseudomonadati; Pseudomonadota; Gammaproteobacteria; Oceanospirillales; Oceanospirillaceae.